Non-coding RNA from Spinacia oleracea (spinach), 84 nucleotides. NCBI's taxonomy places the organism in Eukaryota, Viridiplantae, Streptophyta, Magnoliopsida, Caryophyllales, Amaranthaceae. The record is from Rfam.
GUCAGGAUGGCCGAGUGGUCUAAGGCGCCAGACUCAAGUUCUGGUCUUCGUAAGAGGGCGUGGGUUCAAAUCCAACUUCUGACA